RNAcentral lists this transfer RNA (72 nucleotides) under Phycisphaerales bacterium. RNAcentral describes it as "tRNA-Gly". It matches the Rfam family "tRNA". From Rfam's summary of the family: Transfer RNA (tRNA) molecules are approximately 80 nucleotides in length. Their secondary structure includes four short double-helical elements and three loops (D, anti-codon, and T loops). The record is from RNAcentral. Lineage: Bacteria; Pseudomonadati; Planctomycetota; Phycisphaerae; Phycisphaerales.
GCGGGUGUAGCUCAGUGGUAGAGCGUCAGCUUCCCAAGCUGAAUGUCGUCGGUUCGAUCCCGAUCACCCGCU